RNAcentral lists this ribosomal RNA (608 nucleotides) under uncultured bacterium. RNAcentral's name for it is "bacterial SSU rRNA". It matches the Rfam family "Bacterial small subunit ribosomal RNA", at positions 275 to 896 of the family's 1533-position model. The record is from RNAcentral.
GACGAUCAGUAUCUGGUUUGAGAGGAUGAUCAGACACACUGGAACUGAGACACGGUCCAGACUCCUACGGGAGGCAGCAGUGGGGAAUUUUCCGCAAUGGGCGAAAGCCUGACGGAGCAAUACCGCGUGAGGGAUGACGGCCUAUGGGUUGUAAACCUCUUUUUUCAGGGAGGAAAAAAAUGACGUUACCUGAAGAAUAAGCAUCGGCUAACUCCGUGCCAGCAGCCGCGGUAAGACGGAGGAUGCAAGUGUUAUCCGGAAUCACUGGGCGUAAAGCGUCUGUAGGUGGUUUAAUAAGUCAACUGUUAAAUCUUGAGGCUCAACCUCAAAAUCGCAGUCGAAACUAUUAGACUAGAGUAUAGUAGGGGUAAAGGGAAUUUCCAGUGGAGCGGUGAAAUGCGUAGAGAUUGGAAAGAACACCGAUGGCGAAGGCACUUUACUGGGCUAUUACUAACACUGAGAGACGAAAGCUAGGGUAGCAAAUGGGAUUAGAUACCCCAGUAGUCCUAGCCGUAAACAAUGGAUACUAGAUGUUGAACAGAUCGACCUGUGCAGUAUCAAAGCUAACGCGUUAAGUAUCCCGCCUGGGAAGUAUGCUCGCAAGAGUG